This 90-nucleotide ribosomal RNA is filed under the name Nannospalax galili (Upper Galilee mountains blind mole rat). Lineage: Eukaryota; Metazoa; Chordata; Mammalia; Rodentia; Spalacidae. The record is from RNAcentral.
GUCUGUAGUCAUACGACCCUGAACAUGCCAGAUCUCAUGAUCUUGGAAGCUAAGCAGGGUCGGGCCUGAUUAGCACUUGGAUGGCAGAUA